CUCUGACACAUACACACGGGCCUGGCCCUCCAGUCUCCAGAGACACUCAGUCCACAUCCCCACAGCAUGGAGUGGAGGUGGAGGCUCCUUCUCCUGCUGGCAGUGGCCCCAGGAACCUACUCCCAGGUGCAGCUGGUACAAUCUAGUCCUGAGCUGAAGAAGCCUGGAGAGGCCAUGAAGAUCUCCUGCAAGGCUUCUGGAUACACUUUCACAAGUUAUGGUAUUAACUGGAUGUGGCAGGAGCCAAGAGGUGGCCUACAGUGGAUGGGGUGGAUCAACACUAACACUGGAAAUCCAACCUAUGCUGAGGGCUUCAAAGGACGAUUCAUCUUCUCCCUGAGACCUCUGUCAGCACAGCACAUCUGCAGAUCAGCAGCCUGAAGGC
Dipodomys spectabilis (banner-tailed kangaroo rat) is the source of this 385-nucleotide non-coding RNA. The record is from the annotation of a RefSeq genome assembly. NCBI's taxonomy places the organism in Eukaryota, Metazoa, Chordata, Mammalia, Rodentia, Heteromyidae.